RNAcentral lists this ribosomal RNA (200 nucleotides) under uncultured bacterium. Its description in RNAcentral is "partial 16S ribosomal RNA". It matches the Rfam family "Bacterial small subunit ribosomal RNA", at positions 524 to 724 of the family's 1533-position model. The record is from RNAcentral.
UACAUAGGAUGCAAGCGUUAUUCGGAUUUACUGGGCGUAAAGAGAGCGCAGGCGGAUUUGAAAGUCUGGUGUGAAAUACAAAUGCUUAACUGUUGUAUGCAUUGGAAUCUGCAAAUCUAGAGUAUAGUAGAGAGUGUUAGAACUCCAUGUGGAGCGGUGGAAUGCGUAGAUAUAUGGAAGAAUACCAGUGGCGAAGGCGA